This is a long non-coding RNA of Gasterosteus aculeatus aculeatus (three-spined stickleback), 1709 nucleotides long. Lineage: Eukaryota; Metazoa; Chordata; Actinopteri; Perciformes; Gasterosteidae. The record is from Ensembl.
GUUUAACUAGCGCAACGAGCCGUGGAAAGUGUUGACGCUCAUAUGUGUAAGUGUGUUCAAGCACGCAUGUGAGCUUGAUUAUUUUACUGUGUGUGUGUGUGUGUGGUCUAAGUAAGAAGUAUCGGCCCACCCGAACGCUUCUGUGUAUGUAGUUCCAUACCACACACACACAAAUGCAUUCGUACUCGGUACCCCGUCUCUCUAUUUCAGUUUCUGACUGAAACACAGCACUGGUCGGGGGGGGAGACCUCCGUCUCUGGUGAUCUGUUGAAAGGGUUUGGACGAGCCUCCUCUUGAUGAGAGUCCCACUCCAACGUCACUGUCGGCCGAAAUGGACUGAAGCAUAUGUUCUCUUACAGGGAGGCAAAGACCGCCUGGUCACAGAGGCGGAACAUUUUUAUCGUUCUACGUUACGAGGCUCCCUCGUGUCAUCACAAACAAUGGGACUGCGGGUAGAUUUUCACACAAGGUGAUUUCCUAAACAAAACAACUGGUACAAAAAGAACCCCUCUCUUCUAACUCACUGGAAGUCUGUGGUGGUGUCUGCAGUCCUUAUUUUGCUGUAUUCAUGUCUGUGCAGUACAUGAGGCCUGCUUAUUAGAAGCCUGGACAAUGAGCAGGGUGCUCUGUCCAUUCGUAUUCCUGCCUCAAACACAGCUAGACUCUCUCUCUCUCUCUCUCUCUCUCCAGCUACUUGUUGAGUGGGAGAAGAACCUGGUGUUAAUUUUCUACCCUGGUUUCUUGUUUUGCUUCUAUCCAACAACAAUAAAGAACGUGGUUCUACAACCAUUAAAGGCUCGAUUAUCCCACUUCUCUGGACUGGGGGGAGAAAGUGAUCGCUUUCUCUGUUUUAACUGCUCCUCACGGGAGGAGCGUCAGGCACUUUUGAUAUAUUUGUCUUUAUUUUUCUCAUCGACCAAUCACUUUGUUGAAUAGUAGGACAAAUUUAAGUCAAACCACAUUGUCUUUGGUUAAGUACUGCUCUAGUGACUUGGGAACUCAGCCAGCCAUGAGACUGACCUGACACAUUGACACAACAAGAAGCUGAGAUCAAGGCUCUGAGAGGGGCCGUGAAAAAGCAGAGACAAACAUCGUCGGGGUUUCAGGAUGGAAUGCGCAGUCACACCCAACGUUACAGUAAGAAUACCCUGGCAAACUCCCAUUUGCAUGCAUUUAUGCGUUAAGCACACAAGCACACGGUCAUACAUGUGUUUCCAAUAAAGCGGACAGGCAGGAGUAUAAUGGCAAGUGGCAGGAACGGGGUCAGGUUUCCCAUAGGUCCUGCCGCACCGUGGUGGGCAAUGGGUUUAGAAGUGGGUCCAGAAGUGUGCAUGGGUGUAUUUACACACGGCCAUGCCAGAGUGAACGUGUGUUUGAGAUUGGGGUUGUUUUCACAGUAGUGCGGGUGGAGGGAGCGGGACCCGCCCUCCGCUCGUGAACAGAGGACGGAUUGUGCAGCAGACGGAGAGUGGGCUGGAAGGCCCCGGCUGCCUUUUUUGGGGAGACCGUUGGACGGAAUGUUUCCCCAAAAAGCCGCCGUGUGACAGGUGGCCGAGAGAAUGCUGUCACAUUAGACCUCUCCCUACACCCCUCAAACCAAAACCGCCGAGGAUAACAUCUCGUUACUGAAUCCUAUCUUCUUUUCAUCAGUGUGUAACUGCUCUCUUCCAUUAUUGAUGCUAUAAGGAAGACUGAAAUAUUUACCCCGG